RNAcentral lists this ribosomal RNA (705 nucleotides) under uncultured organism. RNAcentral describes it as "bacterial SSU rRNA". It matches the Rfam family "Bacterial small subunit ribosomal RNA", at positions 172 to 855 of the family's 1533-position model. The record is from RNAcentral.
CAUAUGACCACGGCUCGGCAUCGAGCUGUGAUAAAAAGUGGGGACCGCAAAGGCCUACUGCUUGAGGAUGAUCUCGCUUCCUAUCAGCUUGUUGGCGGGGUAAUGGCCCACCAAGGCUUUUGACGGGUAGCUGGUCUGAGAGGAUGGUCAGCCACAUUGGGACUGAGACACUGCCCAGACUCCUACGGGAGGCUGCAGUCGAGAAUCUUUUGCAAUGCCCGAAAGGGUGACAAUGCGACGCCGCGUGUGCGAUGAAGGCCUUCGGGUCGUAAAGCACUGUCAGCUGGGAGGAAUCUCUGGAGUCUUAACAAGAUUGCAGGGUGACAGUACCAGCAGAGGAAGCCACGGCUAACUCCGUGCCAGCAGCCGCGGUAAUACGGAGGUGGCAGGCGUUACUCGGAUUGAUUGGGUGUAAAGGGUGCGUAGGCGGUGAGUUAAGUCGAACGUGAAAUCCCAUGGCUCAACCAUGGAACUGCGUUUGAUACUGACUUGCUUGAGUGACAGAGAGGUAGAUGGAAUUCCCGGUGUAACAGUGAAAUGUGUAGAUAUCGGGAGGAACACCAGUGGCGAAGGCGAUCUACUGGCUGUCCACUGACGCUGAAGCACGAGAGCAUGGGGAGCAAACAGGAUUAGAUACCCUGGUAGUCCAUGCCGUAAACGAUGUUCACUAGGUGUCGGGCCCUCUGGGUUCGGUGCCGCAGUAAC